Long non-coding RNA from Labeo rohita (rohu), 1322 nucleotides. RefSeq lists it as uncharacterized. The transcript is spliced from 3 exons. Lineage: Eukaryota; Metazoa; Chordata; Actinopteri; Cypriniformes; Cyprinidae. The record is from RefSeq and is a predicted model, not a curated record.
UAUAACAUGUGAAUAUACCCCUGUUGUAUUUUACAACUAAAACAUCCGGAUUACUUUGUUAUAACUAGUUGUUGUUUUGAUUUCCCGAGUUGCUAGCUUAUAGCCCGUUAGCAGCACCAGCAUGGUUGCCGCUAAUCCUGCUUGCAUUGUUUACACACUAUUUACACACAUUACCAUUGUUUACUCACUGUUACUUGCUUUAAUGGCGAAUUUGUGUCCACCUUUGAGUGCAGGUGAGGACACGUUCGAGCUGCACUCGUUGCAGCUGGAGGCCGUGGAGAAGCAGAUCCAGGAGCUGUUGGUGAGGCAGACCGAGCUGAGAGCGGAGAGCCGCUCUGGAAUCCUCCCGGGUGAGUAACGUUAUACAGCGCGAUACUAACACUCUGACCACCUCUACUCCGUGUGCUUCUCUGCACAGCUCCCGUUCACCCUGGACGCGAUCUUCCCAGAUGUCCUUCACUCCGGCGCCGGGACACCACGGACCCUGGGUGCAGCAGCAGCGGAAGACGCGAGCCAGGCCCCGGCCGAGGACCUCGCCCCCUCCGCCGCCUCCGGUCUUCGAGAUCUCCACCCGGAACCGCUUUAUUCCUCUCUGUGAGACGGAACGCGACUCUUUGAUCGUCGGAGACUCCAUUGUCCGAUACCCGCAAUCCUGAAGGACGGCGAGAGCGUCGGCGCGAUCGUUCUGCACGCGGGGGUGAACGACAUCAAGCUGCGGCAGACGGAGGUUCUGAAGAGGGACUUCAGCAGCCUGAUCGAGACGGUUCGCAGCACGUCGCCCGCGACGAGGAUCAUAGUGUCAGGACCGCUUCCCACGUAUCGACGUGGGCACGAAAGGUUCAGUAGACUUCUUGCUCUAAAUGAAUGGUUAUUGACAUGGUGUAAAGAACAGAAACUGCUCUUUGUUAAUAAUUGGAAUCUUUUCUGGGAACGUCCUAGGCUUUUCCGUGCCGAUGGCCUGCACCCCAGCAGAGUCGGAGCGGAGCUGCUGUCGGACAACAUCUCCAGGACACUACGCUCCAUUUGACUAGAAUUCACAAGCUCCAGUGUGGAUCCAGAACACUUAAGAAGAGUUGAUGCCAACCCCACAGAGGACUUCAGAUGAUGCCAACCCUGAAAACAUACAGCACUACCGAAUUCUGCUACUAAUUUAUAGUGUUCUUUGUCUGUUUGAUUACAUCGUUAAUUGAUCUUUACCACACAUCUCUGCCAUGUGUACAUCAAGCUACUACUACAUAUAUUGUAAAAAUGUCAAUUUGGUGUAAAGCUGCUUUGCAACGAUAUGUAUUGUGAAAAGCGCUAUACAAAUAAAUUUGAAUUGA